RNAcentral lists this ribosomal RNA (446 nucleotides) under uncultured Burkholderia sp. RNAcentral's name for it is "bacterial SSU rRNA". It matches the Rfam family "Bacterial small subunit ribosomal RNA", at positions 8 to 454 of the family's 1533-position model. The record is from RNAcentral. Lineage: Bacteria; Pseudomonadati; Pseudomonadota; Betaproteobacteria; Burkholderiales; Burkholderiaceae.
AGAGUUUGAUCCUGGCUCAGAUUGAACGCUGGCGGCAUGCCUUACACAUGCAAGUCGAACGGCAGCACGGGUGCUUGCACCUGGUGGCGAGUGGCGAACGGGUGAGUAAUACAUCGGAACAUGUCCUGUAGUGGGGGAUAGCCCGGCGAAAGCCGGAUUAAUACCGCAUACGAUCUACGGAUGAAAGCGGGGGACCUUCGGGCCUCGCGCUAUAGGGUUGGCCGAUGGCUGAUUAGCUAGUUGGUGGGGUAAAGGCCUACCAAGGCGACGAUCAGUAGCUGGUCUGAGAGGACGACCAGCCACACUGGGACUGAGACACGGCCCAGACUCCUACGGGAGGCAGCAGUGGGGAAUUUUGGACAAUGGGCGAAAGCCUGAUCCAGCAAUGCCGCGUGUGUGAAGAAGGCCUUCGGGUUGUAAAGCACUUUUGUCCGGAAAGAAAUCCU